UCUCCAGAAACACAUUGACAGAGUCUGUAUAUGCAAAUCAUCUGGGGAGCCCUGGCCAAGAUCUCAGUUAUGGAAACAUUUUAAACAACUCCACCCAUCCUAUUAAUUCAAACAUUUAUAGAGACAUCUGAUUUUGAAUGGGAAAGAUGAAGAGAAGAUUGGAGAGCUCAGGUGAUGGUGUGAAGCAGGAAUCAAUCAGGCUUCGUUCUCUAUUGAGCCCAUAUCAUGCACUGGCCAGGGAUGGGAAUUGGUCAGAAAGGUAGGAGGCCAUGUGUGGGCAGUCUUGCUAGGUACACGAGGUGCUUAAUACUUACUCUAUCUAGCAAAUACAUAAACAGGCCAGUAGAGUGAGCCAGUAGAGUAUAAACCUACAAGUGCCUCUGAGCAGGAGCGUAAUUUAAUGAAGGAGACCUUUCUAAGACAGUAGCAGGCCUGAUGUCUGCCAGGAUGUGUGGUGAGGGUCGGGGGCAGAAAAGGCAAUGGUUGAGUUUAACCCUAGUCACAGACAAUGGGAAUUGGAACUAGAAUGACAGAGGGAAAGGUUUUGGAAACUCUAGAGACAAAAAGAACCUGGCCCUCAGAAGGCAGUCAGUGCAGGGUGAAUGGGAGAGGAUCAGGAGUCCUGGAGGUGAACCAAAAAUCCAAGAUGGCUCCAGGCAGGAAGGGCAGAAUCAGGGGCCACUGUUAGGGAGACCUCUGUACUCCUUGGGGCGUAUAAGCACAGCUUGGGGCACGUCUAGGGAGGAAAUGUUAACCAUUUCAAGUGAAACGUCCAAUAGGAAGUUAGACAUUCACUAGACCUUGGUUGAAAAUAGAACAGGAGAUGCCCAGGUGAAGUACUGAGGGUUUUAUAUUAACCAAGAAGCCUGGCCAGCCAUGCAUGUAGGCUGUAUCUGCCAGCACUCAAUCUGGGUUUGCAAAGGAAGGGGAUACAUUUGUCACAUAUUUUUUUUCCUUUUUUAUUCUAGAAGUAGGAUAUGCAGAUUAAAGUAGCAUAGAAAUAGCAAAUGCAAUUUGAAAUUAGUAAAAUGGCAUCUUUUUAGACUGAACCAAGCUCUCCCAUUGUAUUUUUGAGCAUAAAAGGCUUGCUCCAUAUUGUCUUUUUUGGGUUGCUUUUGGUAAUCAUAAAGAGAUGUGAAUAAAGAAAUGUGAAAGAGCAACAUCCCUUUUUUACUAAACUAAGUAUGACAGAGUAACAACUCUCCACAUGGACUCAGGUUUCCUAACCAGAAGUUCAUGAUCACAGGAAAAAAUCUUUUGAAGAAAAAGGAGUUAUUGAAUGAGUGAUGGAUGUAAUAUAAGUAGGACUGAGGGUCAAAUGAUCAGUGAGCAGAUUUCAGGCAUGUAACUAGGCUCCAGGGUGCUGGUCAAAGGUGGGUUUGUUUAGAAGAGCUGUGAAGGUUGGCUGAAAUUGUCCUUUAAAUUUGACCUUUGCCAGAAUUAGCAUCAGAAAAUUAAGGAAAUGGAGAAAUUAUUUAUACAACAAACACUCUCAUGGCAAUGACCAUAUUUAUGGAUAGUAUUGCUGGCUCAAUUACCAAAGAAAUAUUUCAUGUGAAGAAUAUUUUAAUUCAAAUGGGCCUCACUUAGGGCAGAAAUAAUGGAUAUCCAUUGAGAAAAGUGAGAAAUAAGAUCAAACUAGUUGUAUCCCUUUAAAAUUCUUUUAAAAACAAGUGCAUGGAGUCCUGUGUACGGUUUCACUCUGUCCAAGAGGUUUGAUCUGGUCUUAGGUGACAGAAAUCCUAAUUAUCUGUGAAUUCAUGCUGAGAAAAAUAAG
This is a long non-coding RNA of Fukomys damarensis (Damara mole-rat), 1777 nucleotides long. RefSeq lists it as uncharacterized. Lineage: Eukaryota; Metazoa; Chordata; Mammalia; Rodentia; Bathyergidae. The transcript is spliced from 2 exons. The record is from RefSeq and is a predicted model, not a curated record.